AUUGAACGCUGGCGGCAUGCCUUACACAUGCAAGUCGAACGGCAGCACGGGAGCAAUCCUGGUGGCGAGUGGCGAACGGGUGAGUAAAGUAUCGGAACGUGCCCAGUCGUGGGGGAUAACGUAGCGAAAGUUACGCUAAUACCGCAUACGAUCUAUGGAUGAAAGCGGGGGAUCGCAAGACCUCGCGCGAUUGGAGCGGCCGAUAUCAGAUUAGGUAGUUGGUGGGGUAAAGGCUCACCAAGCCGACGAUCUGUAGCUGGUCUGAGAGGACGACCAGCCACACUGGGACUGAGACACGGCCCAGACUCCUACGGGAGGCAGCAGUGGGGAAUUUUGGACAAUGGGCGCAAGCCUGAUCCAGCCAUGCCGCGUGCAGGAUGAAGGCCUUCGGGUUGUAAACUGCUUUUGUACGGAACGAAAAGGUUUGGGCUAAUAAGCUGAGCUCAUGACGGUACCGUAAGAAUAAGCACCGGCUAACUACGUGCCAGCCGCCGCAGUAA
This 500-nucleotide ribosomal RNA is filed under the name uncultured bacterium. RNAcentral describes it as "partial 16S ribosomal RNA". It matches the Rfam family "Bacterial small subunit ribosomal RNA", at positions 30 to 523 of the family's 1533-position model. The record is from RNAcentral.